This 301-nucleotide ribosomal RNA is filed under the name uncultured bacterium. RNAcentral's name for it is "partial 16S ribosomal RNA". It matches the Rfam family "Bacterial small subunit ribosomal RNA", at positions 509 to 808 of the family's 1533-position model. The record is from RNAcentral.
CAGCACCGCGGUAAUACGGAGGGUGCAAGCGUUACUCGGAAUUACUGGGCGUAAAGCGUGCGUAGGUGGUGGUUUAAGUCCGUUGUGAAAGCCCUGGGCUCAACCUGGGAAUUGCAGUGGAUACUGGGUCACUAGAGUGUGGUAGAGGAUAGUGGAAUUUCCGGUGUAGCAGUGAAAUGCGUAGAGAUCGGAAGGAACAUCUGUGGCGAAGGCGACUAUCUGGGCCAACACUGACACUGAGGCACGAAAGCGUGGGGAGCAAACAGGAUUAGAUACCCCUGUAGUCCCUGUCUCUUAUACA